RNAcentral lists this ribosomal RNA (482 nucleotides) under uncultured bacterium. RNAcentral's name for it is "partial 16S ribosomal RNA". It matches the Rfam family "Bacterial small subunit ribosomal RNA", at positions 28 to 523 of the family's 1533-position model. The record is from RNAcentral.
GACGAACGCUGGCGGCGUGCUUAACACAUGCAAGUCGAACGAUGAAACCUAGCUUGCUAGGUCGAUUAGUGGCGAACGGGUGAGUAACACGUGACUAACCUGCCCCUUUCUCUGGGAUAACGCUCCGAAAGGAGUGCUAAUACAGGAUACUCACACCGAGGCACAUGCCUUGGUGUGGAAAGUUUUUCGGAAAGGGAUGGAGUCGCGGCCUAUCAGCUUGUUGGUGAGGUAACGGCUCACCAAGGCGACGACGGGUAGCCGGCCUGAGAGGGCGACCGGCCACACUGGGACUGAGACACGGCCCAGACUCCUACGGGAGGCAGCAGUGGGGAAUAUUGCACAAUGGGCGCAAGCCUGAUGCAGCGACGCCGCGUGAGGGAUGAAGGUCUUCGGAUUGUAAACCUCUUUCAGUAGGGACGAAGCGAAAGUGACGGUACCUAAGGAAGAAGCACCGGCUAACUACGUGCCAGCAGCCGCCGUAA